This is a non-coding RNA of Bombyx mori (domestic silkworm), 105 nucleotides long. The record is from RefSeq and is marked provisional. Lineage: Eukaryota; Metazoa; Arthropoda; Insecta; Lepidoptera; Bombycidae.
CUAGUUUUUAAUCUUACUGCUCAGACGUGUCAUUUUUCCUAUUAAGGUGAAACUUGAACAAUAACUCGGGAAGAGCUGUUGCGCUUUGAGGAAGGUUUAUGACUU